GUGAGGAAUAUUGGACAAUGGAUGGAAAUCUGAUCCAGCCAUGCCGCGUGCAGGAAGACGGCCCUAUGGGUUGUAAACUGCUUUUAUACGGGAGCAAUAAGGUCUAUGCAUAGAUUGAUGAGAGUACCGUAUGAAUAAGCAUCGGCUAACUCCGUGCCAGCAGCCGCGGUAAUACGGAGGAUGCGAGCGUUAUCCGGAUUUAUUGGGUUUAAAGGGUGCGUAGGCGGCUUUGUAAGUCAGCGGUGACAUUUUGCAGCUUAACUGUAAAAGCGCCGUUGAUACUGUGAAGCUAGGAUUUGGUUGCUGUGGGCGGAAUGUGUGGUGUAGCGGUAAAAUGCAUAGAGAUCACACAGAAUAUCGAUUGCGAAGGCAGCUCACAAAGCCAAUAUUGACGCUGAGGCACGAAAGUGUGGGGAUCAAACAGGAUUAGAAACCCUAGUAGUCC
Molecule: ribosomal RNA, 445 nt
Filed under: uncultured bacterium
Lineage: Bacteria
Description: partial 16S ribosomal RNA
Rfam family: Bacterial small subunit ribosomal RNA
Source: RNAcentral